Molecule: ribosomal RNA, 383 nt
Filed under: uncultured eukaryote
Lineage: Eukaryota
Description: partial 18S ribosomal RNA
Rfam family: Eukaryotic small subunit ribosomal RNA
Source: RNAcentral
CAAUAGCGUAUAUUAAAGUUGUUGCAGUUAAAAAGCUCGUAGUUGGUUUUCUGGUGGGAGCGAUCGGUCUGGCGCUUAGCGCGAGUACUUGCAUCGUCUCCGGCCAUCCUUGGGGAGAGUCUGUCUGGCAUUAGGUUGUCGGGCAGAGGAUCCUCAUCGUUUACUGUGAAAAAAUUAGAGUGUUCAAAGCAGGCUUAUGCCGUUGAAUAUAUUAGCAUGGAAUAAUAAGAUAGGACUUUGGUACUAUUUUGUUGGUUUGCGCACCAAAGUAAUGAUUAAUAGGGACAGUUGGGGGUAUUCGUAUUCCGUUGUCAGAGGUGAAAUUCUUGGAUUUACGGAAGACGAACUACUGCGAAAGCAUUUACCAAGGAUGUUUUCAUUAA